ACCCUGAUGCAGCGACGCCGCGUGGAGGAAGAAGGUCUUCGGAUUGUAAACUCCUGUUGUUGAGGAAGAUAAUGACGGUACUCAACAAGGAAGUGACGGCUAACUACGUGCCAGCAGCCGCGGUAAAACGUAGGUCACAAGCGUUGUCCGGAAUUACUGGGUGUAAAGGGAGCGCAGGCGGGAAGACAAGUUGGAAGUGAAAUCCAUGGGCUCAACCCAUGAACUGCUUUCAAAACUGUUUUUCUUGAGUAGUGCAGAGGUAGGCGGAAUUCCCGGUGUAGCGGUGGAAUGCGUAGAUAUCGGGAGGAACACCAGUGGCGAAGGCGGCCUACUGGGCACCAACUGACGCUGAGGCUCGAAAGUGUGGGUAGCAAACAGGAUUAGAUACCCUGGUAGUCCACACCGUAAACGAUGAUUACUAGGUGUUGGAGGAUUGACCCCUUCAGUGCCGCAGUUAACACAAUAAGUAAUCCACCUGGGGAGUACGACCGCAAGGUUGAAACUCAAAGGAAUUGACGGGGGCCCGCACAAGCAGUGGAGUAUGUGGUUUAAUUCGACGCAACGCGAAGAACCUUACCAAGUCUUGACAUCCUGCGACGCACAUAGAAAUAUGUGUUUCCUUCGGGACGCAGAGACAGGUGGUGCAUGGUUGUCGUCAGCUCGUGUCGUGAGAUGUUGGGUUAAGUCCCGCAACGAGCGCAACCCUUAUGGUCAGUUACUACGCAAGAGGACUCUGGCCAGACUGCCGUUGACAAAACGGAGGAAGGUGGGGAUGACGUCAAAUCAUCAUGCCCUUUAUGACUUGGGCUACACACGUACUACAAUGGCGUUAAACAAAGAGAAGCAAGACCGCGAGGUGGAGCAAAACUCAGAAACAACGUCCCAGUUCGGACUGCAGGCUGCAACUCGCCUGCACGAAGUCGGAAUUGCUAGUAAUCGUGGAUCAGCAUGCCACGGUGAAUACGUUCCCGGGCCUUGUACACACCGCCCGUCACACCAUGAGAGCCGGGGGGACCCGAAGUCGGUAGUCUAACCGCAAGGAGGACGCCGCCGAAGGUAAAACUGGUGAUUGGGGUGAAGUCGUAACAAGGUAGCCGUAGGAGAACCUGCGGCUG
This 1115-nucleotide ribosomal RNA is filed under the name Trichuris trichiura (human whipworm). RNAcentral's name for it is "bacterial SSU rRNA". It matches the Rfam family "Bacterial small subunit ribosomal RNA", at positions 380 to 1520 of the family's 1533-position model. Lineage: Eukaryota; Metazoa; Nematoda; Enoplea; Trichinellida; Trichuridae. The record is from RNAcentral.